UAUACCGUUGAAAAUUCCAUCUACAGAGUACAGCCGCGCGCCUAUACUGGUGCGCGGCCUAUACUGGUGAAAAAUAUAUAAUUCGCUUACAAGCCCCUUAAUUUAUCUUCCUCUUUUUAAUAUAUACACACACACAUAUGGAUUAUUAUAUAUUUCUUCUUUGAAUCAAUUCCAUAAGUUCUGUUGCGUUGCUUGAAUUCAUGAUCUGCACAAUUGAUUUUAUUUUAAUUAAUCUUAAUCACGAAAUUAAUUAAGUCUAAUUUGAUUAUAAGGGGUGUCUUACACCAUUGGAUGCACAAGCCGGGAUGGCACAUGUUUCGGGGACAAUCGAUCCGGACACCCUUAUGAAGUUAUUAGCUCAAUCAGGGAAGCAUGCAGAGCUACUUAGGGAUGACUCAGGAUAUAAGCAUCAGUUCUAUUACGGCAAAGCCUGUUGCUAUUGCUAAUUACAGAAAUGGACAUGGUUAAGGGCAGAGUUAUUAUAAUAAUCAUGAUUAUGGAUAUUAUAAUCCCAACGGAACAGGUUCCUACCAUGCAACAACAGAUCGCUACCAUUAUCAGCUAGUACCUAAUUACUAUGAACCGAAAGCGCCACCGUUGAGUUUUCCACAGCCACCACCGUGGAGGAAAAUUCACCCGUUUUAUAAUCCGGACACCCAAUGCACCAUCAUGUGA
RNAcentral lists this long non-coding RNA (675 nucleotides) under Prunus dulcis (almond). RNAcentral describes it as "sRNA ncRNA". Lineage: Eukaryota; Viridiplantae; Streptophyta; Magnoliopsida; Rosales; Rosaceae. The record is from RNAcentral.